CAAUAAUUAGUUUAAUAUAAAAUGUAGUAUUUGGGGUAUUGAGAUUGAUUUUUAUUGA
This 58-nucleotide transfer RNA is filed under the name Gnathostoma spinigerum. Its description in RNAcentral is "tRNA-Pro". Lineage: Eukaryota; Metazoa; Nematoda; Chromadorea; Rhabditida; Gnathostomatidae. The record is from RNAcentral.